This 546-nucleotide ribosomal RNA is filed under the name uncultured bacterium. RNAcentral's name for it is "bacterial SSU rRNA". It matches the Rfam family "Bacterial small subunit ribosomal RNA", at positions 8 to 573 of the family's 1533-position model. The record is from RNAcentral.
AGAGUUUGAUCCUGGCUCAGAACGAACGCUGGCGGCGUGGAUAAGACAUGCAAGUCGCACGGAGAAAAGAUAGUUUACUAGCUUUUCUGAGUGGCGCACGGGUGAGUAACACGUGAGCAACCUGCCUCUUAGUGGGGGAUAGCCCUGGGAAACCGGGAUUAAUACCGCAUAUCAUCGCAAGAUGAAAGCAGCAAUGCGCUAAGAGAGGGGCUCGCGGCCUAUUAGUUAGUUGGUGAGGUAACGGCUCACCAAGGCGAUGACGGGUAGCCGGUCUGAGAGGAUGUCCGGCCACACUGGAACUGAGACACGGUCCAGACACCUACGGGUGGCAGCAGUCGAGAAUCAUUCACAAUGGGGGAAACCCUGAUGGUGCGACGCCGCGUGGGGGAAGAAGGUCUUCGGAUUGUAAACCCCUGUCAUGUGGGAGCAAGCUAGCAAUAGUUGAUAGUACCACAAGAGGAAGAGACGGCUAACUCUGUGCCAGCAGCCGCGGUAAUACAGAGGUCUCAAGCGUUGUUCGGAAUCACUGGGCGUAAAGGGUACGUA